AGGAUGAAAGAGUGAAGGGCGACUUGCCUUUCCUCUAAACACUCUCCUCAGGUAUACCCACAAUGAUAAAAAAUAAUAAUGGGGCACAUGAGUUAUUUUUUAUCAUUGUGGGUAUACCUGGGGAGAGUGUUUAGAGGAAAGGCAAGUCGCCCUUCACUCUUUCAUCCUCU
RNAcentral lists this microRNA precursor (170 nucleotides) under Pelobates cultripes (western spadefoot toad). The record is from RNAcentral. Lineage: Eukaryota; Metazoa; Chordata; Amphibia; Anura; Pelobatidae.